Canis lupus familiaris (dog) is the source of this 629-nucleotide long non-coding RNA. RefSeq lists it as uncharacterized. The record is from RefSeq and is a predicted model, not a curated record. The transcript is spliced from 3 exons. Lineage: Eukaryota; Metazoa; Chordata; Mammalia; Carnivora; Canidae.
GGAACUCUGAAGGACACUGAUGACUUAAUGUUCCUAUCAAAAGGAGCCAGUUCCCACAGCCACCAGAGGAGUGCCCCAAUGCUGGGCUGCCCUCCAGAAAUGCUGUGUAGCCAGAAGCACCCAUGGCCGCCUGAACUAGGUGGGCAGUGCCAGAGGUUCCAUUCACGAGUGGGACACUCACGACAGCAAAAGCAACCAACCCCAGACAGUAAUUCUGAUUGGCUGCCUCUGAUACUAGAAGGAAGGAGCUGUGUCCCCUGGACGCCAGUACUCCUUGGACGUUUCCUGAGCACUCACACUGAGGUCUGGAACAAUCAAGCAGGACAAGGCACUAGGCUCAAACUGGCAUCGAUGACACUCUGGGCCCUCGUGCUAAGGGUAUCUGGCGUUUGUCUGGGGCUCCCGUUCUGCAUGGUUCCUACCCUGCUAGCGAGAGAGGAGCGGGAGAUACGGGAGGCAGCAGAGGUUGCUGAGGCUGGAAGCCCGAGUCUGAGUCCACCACUGACCGGCUCUGAGAGUCUCUCUGCGCUCCAGUUCCACCUUUGUGAGACAGCAGUACUAUAACUACCGGCUUCAUAAAACCACUGGGAACACUAAAUGAGAAUAAAACAGGUGGCACAGCACCUGGC